AACGAACGCUGGCGGCAUGCCUAAUACAUGCAAGUCGAACGAUCACUUCGGUGGUAGUGGCGCACGGGUGCGUAACGCGUGGGAAUCUGUCCGUGGGGUCUGAAUAACGUCGGGCAACUGACGCUAAUACCGGAUGAUGACGUAAGUCCAAAGAUUCAUCGGCCAGGGAUGAGCCCGCGUAGGAUUAGCUAGUAGGCGGGGUAAAGGCCUACCAUGGCGACGAUCCUCAGCUGGUCUGAGAGGAUGAUCAGCCACACUGGGACGGAGACCGGGCCAAGACUCCUACGGGAGGCAGCAGAAGAGAAUAUUGACCAAAGAGGGCAACCCUGAGCCGGCAAUGCCGCGUGAGGAAUGAAGGCCUUAGGGUUGUAAAGAUCUUUUACCCGGGGUGAUAAUGGCAGCGCCGGGAGAAUAAGAGGUUUCUUACUCUGUGCCAGCCGCCGCCGUAA
RNAcentral lists this ribosomal RNA (449 nucleotides) under uncultured bacterium. Its description in RNAcentral is "partial 16S ribosomal RNA". It matches the Rfam family "Bacterial small subunit ribosomal RNA", at positions 29 to 523 of the family's 1533-position model. The record is from RNAcentral.